Molecule: ribosomal RNA, 324 nt
Filed under: uncultured eukaryote
Lineage: Eukaryota
Description: partial 18S ribosomal RNA
Rfam family: Eukaryotic small subunit ribosomal RNA
Source: RNAcentral
CCCUUAGAUGUUCUGGGCUGCACGCGCGCUACACUGAAGCUAUCAACACGUUUUCCCUCCCUGAGAAGGGCGGGUAACCUUUUGAAUCAACUUCGUGGUAGGGAUCGGGGCUUGCAAUUGUUCCCCGUGAACCAGGAAUUCCUAGUAGACGCGAGUCAUAAGCUCGCAUCGAUUAAGUCCCUGCCCUUUGUACACACCGCCCGUCGCUACUACCGAUUGAACGUUUUAGUGAGGCAUUUGGACCGACGCAUCUCAGUUUAACCGCUGGUUUGUGUUGGAAAGACUUCCAAACUUGAGCGUUUAGAGGAAGUAAAAGUCGUAACA